CAUAGCCAUUAGUCCAGAUUCUUCUUCAACGUCAGAGGAGGGGAAAAAAAAGCCGGGCAGAUCUGUCAAAGGUAAUCGCCGACUCGCCGGGUACCGCUGCUUAUACACCCUCAAUAAUUUGUACUAAUAAUUCAAAUUUAUCAAAGCUUCCAUAAUUAUCCCAUUCAUCAGUUUCUCCUUCUCGUUUUCUCUCUAUCCACAAAUCGCGAUUUUAAAUGGCGUAGCUGUUGCAAAUCUUGGAAAAUUCCAAAUUUAAAGCGCGCGAAGCAAGAGUUAGGUGAACUACUAGAUUUUAACACUUGGAGGGUUUAUUCAGCUGGUUGUGCAACGCGAGCAAGUCACGUGAAGCAUGGCGGACUUGGAAAAUUUGCUACUGGAGGCAGCAGGAAGAACUGGUACAUCAGGAAGAAACAGGAAUGCGCUUCCACCAUCUAGGAGGCGGCGUGAGGGUUCAUAUUCUGAUGGUGGAAGUGACUCUAGAGAUGAUGAUUCCGAUGAUGACCGCGGCUAUUCAAGCAGGAAGCCAUCUGGAUCUCAAGUCCCAUUGAAGAAAAGACUGGACCCUACUGAAAGAGAUGAUGAUCAAGGUAGCCAGGAUGAAGGUGACUAUGAUGAUGGGAAUUCUGAUCGUGAGGGUGAUAGCAGUGAUGGAUCAGAUGUUGGUGAGGAUCUUUAUAAGAAUGAGGAUGAUCGGAGGAAGCUUGCUCAAAUGAGUGAACUUGAAAGGGAGAUGAUUUUAUCUGAACGAGCUGACAAAAAGGGUGAUAAGAAUUUAACCGAGAGAAUUAGAUCCAAACGGGAAAGUGAGAGGACAACCCGCUCCAGGAAAGAGACUCCCCCACUUCCAUCAUCUCGUGGUGUGCGCACAUCAGCUAGAUCUGCAGACAGGGCAGCUGCUAAAGAUGAUGCGCUAAAUGAAUUGAAAGCUAGACGUUUAAAGCAGCAGGAUCCAGAGGCUCACCGCAAGUUGAGGGAUGCAUCUAGAAGAGGUUCUGGAAGCCGGGGCUUUUCUCCGAUCAAGCGAAAACGCUUCACUUCUGCAAGCUUGAGUAGCUCUAGUAGUGAGAGCGAAAGUAGGUCUCAUAGUGAAGAUGAAGGAUCAACGGGUGAUGGUGGAAUGGCAGACAGUGAUGAUGAUGGCGAGCCUGGGUCUCAAGGUCCGACUUUUGACGAUAUAAGGGAAAUUACAAUCCGGAGGUCAAAACUUGCUAAAUGGUUUAUGGAGCCAUGGUUUGAAGAGUUGAUUGUGGGUUGCUUUGUUAGGGUUGGCAUUGGGAGGUCCAAGUCUGGACCAAUCUACAGGCUCUGUUUGGUUCGGAAUGUUGAUGCGGCAGACCCUGACCGCCCAUACAAACUGGAGAACAAAACAACAUAUAAAUAUCUGAAUGUUAUUUGGGGUAAUGAAAGCUCUGCUGCCAGGUGGCAAAUGGCUAUGAUUUCAGACUCUGCACCAACAGAGGAUGAGUAUAAACAGUGGGUCAGGGAGGUGGAGCGUAGUGGCGGCCGGAUGCCAACCAAACAGGAUAUUCUGGAAAAGAAGGAGGCCAUAAGAAAGUCAAAUACAUUUGUUUAUUCAGCAGCCACUGUGAAGCAGAUGUUGCAAGAAAAGAAAUCUGCCUCAUCAAGGCCACUAAAUGUUGCGGCUGAGAAGGACCGGCUGAGGAGGGAAUUGGAAGUGGCACAAAGUAAGCAAGAUGAUGCAGAGGUGGAGAGGAUUCGGGCUAGGAUUCAGGAACUGGAGGCGUCUCGACAAACUCAAGGAAAAGAUGCGAAGGCUAUUAGAUUGGCAGAAAUGAAUAGGAAGAAUAGGGCUGAGAAUUUCAGAAAUGCAUCAGAGUUGAAACCUGUGAACACAAGUCUGAAAGCAGGGGAGGCUGGGUACGAUCCAUUUUCAAGGAGAUGGACUAGGUCAAGGAAUUACUACGUGUCAAAGCCUGCUGGGGGAGAUGCAGCUGCUGCAACAAAUAAUGAGGCCAGUGGUACAGUAGCUGUUGCAAAUAAAACUGAGUCAGCAGCAGGAGUGUCAGCUGAGGCUGGCAUGGCUGCUACAGCAGCUGCCUUGGAAGCAGCAGCUGAUGCAGGGAAGUUGGUUGAUACAGCUGCUCCUGUAGAUCAAGGCACGGAGUCAAAUACACUGCAUAACUUUGAGCUUCCAAUCUCAUUGACUGCACUUCAGAAAUUUGGUGGAGCACAGGGAGCUCAGGCAGGAUUCAUGGCAAGAAAACAACGGAUAGAAGCAACUAUUGGAUGCCGGGUCUCUGAGAAUGAUGAGAAGAGGCAUGUCCUGACUUUGACAGUUAGUGACUACAAGAGAAGAAGAGGACUUCUCUGAAAUUUGAUUGUGCACCAAUCAAUUCCAUUCCCGGUGUUUGUCUUUCUGGCUUUGUUUCAGUUGUUAUGUGAAUGCAAGAUUUUGAGAAUGAUCGUGUUAAGAGAGCAGGAUGAACUCUACUGUUUGAAGUGUUGUGCAGAUUUUCUUAAUUAUUACAAGGACAAUUAUUCUCCUGAGAUUAAGGUUUUCACUUAGAACUAUUUUGCUAUUGAGCAAAGGUCGGAGCAUACUCAGGAAUUCUGUGUUGUUUGCAUGGUCAGUUGGCUCCUUCGGAUUUUAGUUUCUUUUUAUCCCUCAAAAGCCAAGUACCUUUCCUUCGUAUUUACUAGAUUCUUACCUUCUUUUCUUUUGACAAUCGAGAUACAUCAGUAAUGGUGAGCGGGGAGGAGACGUUAAUUACUAAGGUUCAUUCACAACACUUGUGGACUUCAUGAUCCAAACCCACCCAUAUACCCACAGGGCUAAAGCCACCAUUUCGGUGGGACGGAGCCUUCCCUUUUGGCUUGGAGGAGAGUCUAGAGACCCUCUAUACAUGCUGGAUUAAAAACCCAAAAAUUUGCAACAAAGUAAACUUGUCAAACUGAAUCUUAUACAGCAUGCAAAUGUUAGGCGGGAGAGAUUAUCGAAUAAAAGCCUAUGGGCAGCCAAAGCCAUUUCAGCCAACACGCUAUUGCGCUCGCGAAUGAGCCAGUAAAUUGAGAAAGCAACAGCAAUGAAGACCCAGUUCGAUUGUCACUCAUUCCGAUGAUGAUAAUAAGAAAUUUUGGUAGUUAUUUGUUGGGAGGAAGAUAUAUUGAGAAUUUUUGUAUUAGCUAUUUUAUAUUAUGUGCAAUCAUUACUUUUCUUACCUUAAUAAAAAUGUAUAUUAGCUACACACUAUAGAAAUGUACUUUCUGAUUCAAAAACAAUAAUAAUAAAUUCACGUGAAACAUUCAUUUCA
This is an RNA transcript of Ricinus communis (castor bean), 3272 nucleotides long. It is a transcript of the gene named protein RTF1 homolog, with no coding region annotated. The record is from RefSeq and is a predicted model, not a curated record. The transcript has 4 exons. NCBI's taxonomy places the organism in Eukaryota, Viridiplantae, Streptophyta, Magnoliopsida, Malpighiales, Euphorbiaceae.